This 72-nucleotide transfer RNA is filed under the name Cavia porcellus (domestic guinea pig). It matches the Rfam family "tRNA". From Rfam's summary of the family: Transfer RNA (tRNA) molecules are approximately 80 nucleotides in length. Their secondary structure includes four short double-helical elements and three loops (D, anti-codon, and T loops). Further hydrogen bonds mediate the characteristic L-shaped molecular structure. tRNAs have two regions of fundamental functional importance: the anti-codon, which is responsible for specific mRNA codon recognition, and the 3' end, to which the tRNAs corresponding amino acid is attached (by aminoacyl-tRNA synthetases). tRNAs cope with the degeneracy of the genetic code in two manners: having more than one tRNA (with a specific anti-codon) for a particular amino acid; and 'wobble' base-pairing, i.e. permitting non-standard base-pairing at the 3rd anti-codon position. Lineage: Eukaryota; Metazoa; Chordata; Mammalia; Rodentia; Caviidae. The record is from Rfam by way of RNAcentral.
AAGGAUGUAGCUUAGUGGCACAGCACCUGCCUGGUAAGCACAAGGGUGUGAGUUCGAUUUCCAGUACCCUUC